AACGAACGCUGGCGGCAUGCCUAACACAUGCAAGUCGAACGGGAUCCUAGCUUGCUAGGUGAGAGUGGCGGACGGGUGAGUAACACGUGGGAAUCUGCCUUUUGGUUCGGGAUAACCGCGGGAAACUGCGGCUAAUACCGAAUGCCCUCGUGAGAGGAAAGAUUUAUCGCCAGAAGAGGAGCCCGCGUCCGAUUAGGUAGUUGGUGGGGUAAAGGCCUACCAAGCCGACGAUCGGUAGCUGGUCUGAGAGGAUGAUCAGCCACACUGGGACUGAGAUACGGCCCAGACUCCUACGGGAGGCAGCAGUGGGGAAUUUUGGACAAUGGGGGCAACCCUGAUCCAGCAAUGCCGCGUGAGUGAAGAAGGCCUUCGGGUUGUAAAGCUCAUUUGUCAGGGAAGAAAAGGACUGUGGCUAAUAUCCACAGCUGCUGACGGUACCUGAAGAAUAAGACACCGGCUAACUACGUGCCAGCAGCCGCGGUAAU
This 485-nucleotide ribosomal RNA is filed under the name uncultured bacterium. RNAcentral describes it as "bacterial SSU rRNA". It matches the Rfam family "Bacterial small subunit ribosomal RNA", at positions 29 to 524 of the family's 1533-position model. The record is from RNAcentral.